AACGUAAGCGGUGGUGAAUCAAGUUGAAAGUGAAAGCCACAAAAAACUGGUGGAAUGCUAUCGAAACCAGUUCACUUGAGUGAGACAAAGGAGAGUGGAAUUUUGUGUGUAGGGGUGAAAUUCGGGGAUGUACGAAGGAACGCCAAGAGCGAAGGUAGUGCUCUAGGUCCCUAUCGACUCUGAGGUGCAAUAACAUGGGGAGCGAACACGAUUAAAUACACUCAUUGCCCAUGUCAUAAGUGAUGAGUCUUUACCCU
RNAcentral lists this non-coding RNA (257 nucleotides) under Capsicum annuum. RNAcentral's name for it is "Bacterial small subunit ribosomal RNA". It matches the Rfam family "Bacterial small subunit ribosomal RNA", at positions 567 to 823 of the family's 1533-position model. Lineage: Eukaryota; Viridiplantae; Streptophyta; Magnoliopsida; Solanales; Solanaceae. The record is from Rfam by way of RNAcentral.